Zonotrichia leucophrys gambelii is the source of this 536-nucleotide long non-coding RNA. RefSeq lists it as uncharacterized. The transcript is spliced from 2 exons. Lineage: Eukaryota; Metazoa; Chordata; Aves; Passeriformes; Passerellidae. The record is from RefSeq and is a predicted model, not a curated record.
GUGACAAGCAUUCACUGUGAAUGGUAGGGCCUCUUCUUUUCUCCAGAGCUGUACUGGAGGAUUUACCCUGUUCCGAAGAUGGACAAAAGUCUUUAGAAUACCACCAGCAACUACAAAUGAAGCAUCUCAGGCAGUGAAACCCCCAAAAAACCACGGAACAGCUGGAAGACAGCACUGCAAGGACCACUCAGGGCUUCAGCAGCACGGGAUGACUUCACCCCUGUUCCCUUGGACCUCUCGUGGAUGAGCAGAAGGGCUGAGGGGAGGCUGAGGAAAACCAGCCCCAUUCCUGUGGGUGCAGCCCCUGCCUGCAGCAUCAGGGAGCAGCAGAUGGGAUGGGGAGGGAAGCCAAGGAGCUGCUGAGCCCGCUGAGGUGUUCCACAGUGAGACAGGCCUGGCCAGGAUCACCCAGGACAUGUGUCCCACCACCAAGGCAGUGGGGAUAGAAAUCCUUGCAGGGAGUGGGCAGGGAGCUGUCUGAACACAUGGAAAAGGAGCAUGAUCCCUGGGCUGGGGUUGUUGAUUAUGGCUAGAAA